UGUUUAUUUUACCUUGUUGCUUCGGCGAGCCUGCCUUUUGGCUGCCGGGGGACGUCUGUCCCCGGGUCCGCGCUCGCCGAAGACACCUUAGAACUCUGUCUGAAGAUUGUAGUCUGAGAUUAAAUAUAAAUUAUUUAAAACUUUCAACAACGGAUCUCUUGGUUCCGGCAUCGAUGAAGAACGCAGCGAAAUGCGAUACGUAAUGUGAAUUGCAGAAUUCAGUGAAUCAUCGAGUCUUUGAACGCACAUUGCGCCCUCUGGUAUUCCGGAGGGCAUGCCUGUCCGAGCGUCAUUGCUGCCCUCAAGCACGGCUUGUGUGUUGGGCUCCGUCCUCCUUCCGGGGGACGGGCCCGAAAGGCAGCGGCGGCACCGCGUCCGGUCCUCAAGCGUAUGGGGCUUUGUCACCCGCUUUGUAGGACUGGCCGGCGCCUGCCGAUCAACCAAACUUUUUUCCAGGUUGACCUCGGAUCAGGUAGGGAUACCCGCUGAACUUAAGCAUAUC
Molecule: ribosomal RNA, 502 nt
Filed under: Penicillium brevicompactum
Lineage: Eukaryota; Fungi; Ascomycota; Eurotiomycetes; Eurotiales; Aspergillaceae
Description: partial 18S ribosomal RNA
Rfam family: 5.8S ribosomal RNA (bases 139-292)
Source: RNAcentral